Molecule: ribosomal RNA, 522 nt
Filed under: uncultured bacterium
Lineage: Bacteria
Description: bacterial SSU rRNA
Rfam family: Bacterial small subunit ribosomal RNA
Source: RNAcentral
UAGGCGAACGGGUGCGUAACACGUGGGCAAUCUGCCGAAAAGUGGGGGAUAGCUCGCCGAAAGGCGAAUUAAGUACCGCAUGUGGUGAGGGACGACAUCUUCCUGAAUCCAAAGCCGGGGUAACCUGGCGCUUUUUGAGGAGCCCGCGGCCUAUCAGCUAGUUGGUGAGGUAACGGCUCACCAAGGCUAUGACGGGUAGCUGGUCUGAGAGGACGACCAGUCACACCGUGGAACUGAGACACGGUCCAGACACCUACGGGUGGCAGCAGUCGAGAAUUUUUCUCAAUGGGGGAAACCCUGAAGGAGCGACGCCGCGUGGAGGAUGAAGGCUUUCGGGUUGUAAACUCCUGUCAUUUGAGAACAAGUGCCAACAAGUAACUACUGUUGGCUUGAUAGUAUCAGAAGAGGAAGGGACGGAUAACUCUGUAGCCAGCAGCCGCGGUAAUACAAGAGGUCCCAAGCGUAGUAUACGGAUUCAUUGGGCGUAAAGGGUGCGUAGGUGGCAGCCGUAAGUCGGGUGUG